GACGAACGCUGGCGGCGUGCUUAACACAUGCAAGUCGAACGAAAAUACCAGGCUUGCUUGGUUGAUUAGUGGCGAACGGGUGAGUAACACGUGAGUAACCUGCCCCUUACUUUCCUGGAUAACUGCUCGAAAGGGUAGCUAAUACGGGAUAUUCUGACUAGCCUGCAUGGGUUGGUUUGGAAAGGUUUUUUCUGGUAAGGGAUGGGCUCGCGGCCUAUCAGCUUGUUGGUGGGGUGAUGGCCUACCAAGGCUUUGACGGGUAGCCGGCCUGAGAGGGUGGACGGUCACACUGGGACUGAGAUACGGCCCAGACUCCUACGGGAGGCAGCAGUGGGGAAUAUUGCACAAUGGGCGCAAGCCUGAUGCAGCGACGCCGCGUGAGGGACGAAGGCCUUCGGGUUGUAAACCUCUUUCGUCAGGGAACAAGGCACUGCUUUUUUGGUGGUGUUGAGGGUACCUGGAUAAGAAGCGCCGGCUAACUACGUGCCAGCAGCCGCGGUAAUACGUAGGGCGCAAGCGUUGUCCGGAAUUAUUGGGCGUAAAGAGCUCGUAGGCGGCUGGUCGCGUCUGUCGUGAAAACUUCCGGCUCAACCGGGGGCUUGCGGUGGGUACGGGCCGGCUAGAGUGCGGUAGGGGUAACUGGAACUCCUGGUGUAGCGGUGGAAUGCGCAGAUAUCAGGAAGAACACCGAUGGCGAAGGCAGGUUACUGGGCCGUUACUGACGCUGAGGAGCGAAAGCGUGGGGAGCGAACAGG
This 755-nucleotide ribosomal RNA is filed under the name uncultured Actinomyces sp. Its description in RNAcentral is "bacterial SSU rRNA". It matches the Rfam family "Bacterial small subunit ribosomal RNA", at positions 28 to 776 of the family's 1533-position model. The record is from RNAcentral. Lineage: Bacteria; Bacillati; Actinomycetota; Actinomycetes; Actinomycetales; Actinomycetaceae.